Molecule: ribosomal RNA, 301 nt
Filed under: uncultured bacterium
Lineage: Bacteria
Description: partial 16S ribosomal RNA
Rfam family: Bacterial small subunit ribosomal RNA
Source: RNAcentral
CAGUCGCCGCGGGAAUACGGAGGGUGCGAGCGUUAAUCGGAAUUACUGGGCGUAAAGCGUGCGCAGGCGGUUUGUUAAGACAGAUGUGAAAUCCCCGGGCUCAACCUGGGAACUGCAUUUGUGACUGGCAGGCUAGAGUAUGGCAGAGGGGGGUGGAAUUCCGCGUGUAGCAGUGAAAUGCGUAGAUAUGCGGAGGAACACCGAUGGCGAAGGCAAUCCCCUGGGCCUGUACUGACGCUCAUGCACGAAAGCGUGGGGAGCAAACAGGAUUAGAUACCCCCGUAGUCCCUGUCUCUUAUAA